Molecule: unclassified non-coding RNA, 262 nt
Filed under: Hevea brasiliensis (rubber tree)
Lineage: Eukaryota; Viridiplantae; Streptophyta; Magnoliopsida; Malpighiales; Euphorbiaceae
Source: RNAcentral
GGAAAAACAUGGAAGCAAGACCAGAAAGUAAGGCUACAGCAUGUUGACACCGGUGGUUACCUCCAUAGCCACACCAAGAAAUUCACCCAGUUAGCUGGCGGGCAGCAAGAGGUUUGUGGAGUCCGGGAUAAGCGUCCUGAUAGCCUCUGGUUAGCAGCUGAGGGGGUAUACCUUCCAGUCACUGGAAGCAAAUGAGUGUCAAUUAGUUUGGCCUACAAGGUUUUCUUCAACUCGCUAAUGAUGCCGGAAGCUACUAAGUUUU